UACGGAGGGUGCAAGCGUUGUUCGGAAUUAUUGGGCGUAAAGGGCGCGUAGGCGGUAAUGCAAGUCAGAUGUGAAAUACUCCGGCUCAACCAGAGAAUUGCAUCUGAAACUGCAUAACUAGAGUACAGAAGAGGGAAACGGAAUUCCCGGUGUAGAGGUGAAAUUCGUAGAUAUCGGGAGGAACACCAGUGGCGAAGGCGGUUUCCUGGUCUGAUACUGACGCUGAGGCGCGAAAGUGUGGGGAGCAAAC
RNAcentral lists this ribosomal RNA (250 nucleotides) under uncultured bacterium. Its description in RNAcentral is "partial 16S ribosomal RNA". It matches the Rfam family "Bacterial small subunit ribosomal RNA", at positions 524 to 773 of the family's 1533-position model. The record is from RNAcentral.